RNAcentral lists this transfer RNA (144 nucleotides) under Sclerotinia borealis F-4128. It matches the Rfam family "tRNA". From Rfam's summary of the family: Transfer RNA (tRNA) molecules are approximately 80 nucleotides in length. Their secondary structure includes four short double-helical elements and three loops (D, anti-codon, and T loops). Lineage: Eukaryota; Fungi; Ascomycota; Leotiomycetes; Helotiales; Sclerotiniaceae. The record is from Rfam by way of RNAcentral.
GGAAAUGUAGUUCAGUGGUAGAAUAUACACCUCUCAGUGUGAACAGCAUUACCGGUUAAGCUAUUUAAGCCUAGAAAGGUCUCUAUAGCUCGGUUGGUUCUACCGUGAGUGUGUCAGACGGAAGUUCGAUUCUUUCCAUUUCUG